This 630-nucleotide ribosomal RNA is filed under the name uncultured bacterium. Its description in RNAcentral is "bacterial SSU rRNA". It matches the Rfam family "Bacterial small subunit ribosomal RNA", at positions 12 to 637 of the family's 1533-position model. The record is from RNAcentral.
UUUGAUCCUGGCUCAGAUUGAACGCUAGCGGCAUGCCUUACACAUGCAAGUCGAACGCCCCCACGGGGGCAACCCUGGUGGCGAGUGGCGAACGGGUGAGUAAUGCAUCGGAACGUGCCCAUCGAUGGGGGAUAACUGCGCGAAAGCGUUGCUAAUACCGCAUACGACCUACGGGUGAAAGCAGGGGACCGCAAGGCCUUGCGUCGAUGGAGCGGCCGAUGUCGGAUUAGCUAGUUGGUGAGGUAAGAGCUCACCAAGGCGACGAUCCGUAGCUGGUCUGAGAGGACGACUAGCCACACUGGGACUGAGACACGGCCCAGACUCCUACGGGAGGCAGCAGUGGGGAAUCUUGGACAAUGGGCGAAAGCCUGAUCCAGCAAUGCCGCGUGUGGGAAGAAGGCCUUCGGGUUGUAAACCACUUUUGGCAGGAAAGAAAUCGUUUGCGCUAAUACCGCGAAUGGAUGACGGUACCUGCAGAAUAAGCACCGGCUAACUACGUGCCAGCAGCCGCGGUAAUACGUAGGGUGCGAGCGUUAAUCGGAAUUACUGGGCGUAAAGCGUGCGCAGGCGGUUGGGAAAGAUAGAUGUGAAAGCCCUGGGCUCAACCUAGGAAUUGCAUUUGUGACUAUU